This is a transfer RNA of Felis catus (domestic cat), 73 nucleotides long. It matches the Rfam family "tRNA". From Rfam's summary of the family: Transfer RNA (tRNA) molecules are approximately 80 nucleotides in length. The record is from Rfam. Lineage: Eukaryota; Metazoa; Chordata; Mammalia; Carnivora; Felidae.
GCCGGGCUGGCUCAUUCGGCAGAGCGUGCGACUCUCGAUCUCGAGGUCUUGGGUUCGAACCCCACGUCAGACA